Non-coding RNA from Pelobates cultripes (western spadefoot toad), 259 nucleotides. The record is from the annotation of a GenBank genome assembly. NCBI's taxonomy places the organism in Eukaryota, Metazoa, Chordata, Amphibia, Anura, Pelobatidae.
UUUUUUUUUUUUCUUUGAGAAGUGGAGAAAAAAGGAUGUCCACCUUUACGUCUCAUUGGGAGUGACUGCUGUAGGUAUGACUGUAUUAGGACUUCUCACGGGUGACACUGCUCGUUACAACAGAAAUCCUAUCAAAGGAAUUGCAUUUAAACGCACUGAUUCACACCUUGGCAUCCUGCCAGAUCUCUGCUCUCUUGUACAUAGAGCUAAACAAAGCACAGUCAUCUAUAUAUCUAGACAAGAGGUGGAUCCCCUCAAC